GAUGAACGCUGGCGGCGUGCCUAAUACAUGCAAGUCGAGCGAACAGACGAGGAGCUUGCUCCUCUGAUGUUAGCGGCGGACGGGUGAGUAGCACGUGGAUAACCUACCUAUAAGACUGGGAUAACUUCGGGAAACCGGAGCUAAUACCGGAUAACAUGUUGAACCGCAUGGUUCAACAGUGAAAGACGGUCUUGCUGUCACUUAUAGAUGGAUCCGCGCCGCAUUAGCUAGUUGGUAAGGUAACGGCUUACCAAGGCAACGAUGCGUAGCCGACCUGAGAGGGUGAUCGGCCACACUGGAACUGAGACACGGUCCAGACUCCUACGGGAGGCAGCAGUAGGGAAUCUUCCGCAAUGGGCGAAAGCCUGACGGAGCAACGCCGCGUGAGUGAAGAAGGUCUUCGGAUCGUAAAACUCUGUUAUUAGGGAAGAACAAAUGUGUAAGUAACUAUGCACGUCUUGACGGUACCUAAUCAGAAAGCCACGGCUAACUACGUG
Molecule: ribosomal RNA, 497 nt
Filed under: uncultured bacterium
Lineage: Bacteria
Description: partial 16S ribosomal RNA
Rfam family: Bacterial small subunit ribosomal RNA
Source: RNAcentral